Molecule: ribosomal RNA, 497 nt
Filed under: uncultured bacterium
Lineage: Bacteria
Description: partial 16S ribosomal RNA
Rfam family: Bacterial small subunit ribosomal RNA
Source: RNAcentral
GAUGAACGCUGGCGGCGUGCCUAAUACAUGCCAGUCGAGCGAACGGACGAGAAGCUUGCUUCUCUGAUGUUAGCGGCGCACGGGUGAGUAACACGUGGAUACCCUACCUAUAAGACUGGGAUAACUUCGGGACACCGGAGCUAAUACCGGAUAAUAUUUUGAACCGCAUGGUUCAAAAGUGAAAGACGGUCUUGCUGUCACUUAUAGAUGGAUCCGCGCUGCAUUAGCUAGUUGGUAAGGUAACGGCUUACCAAGGCAACGUUGCAUAGCCGACCUGGGAGGGUGAUCGGCCACACUGGAACGGAGACACGGUCCAGACUCCUACGGGAGGCAGCAGUAGGGAAUCUUCCGCAAUGGGCGAAAGCCUGACGGAGCAACGCCGCGUGAGUGAUGAAGUUCUUCGGAUCGUAAAACUCUGUUAUUAGGGAAGAACAUAUGUGUAAGUAACUGUGCACAUCUUGACGGUACCUAAUCAGAAAGCCACGGCUAACUACGUG